UUGAUUCGUGUUUCGAGUUCAGACACGGGACGGGAUCAGGCAUGGGUGCGGCGCCGGAGCGCCGAAGCACGGGUCGCUUCCGCUGUUUCGAGGGUUUGAAGGCGCCGAGCGCCGUUCGAUAAUGAUCCCUCCGCAGGUUCACCUACGGAGA
Molecule: unclassified non-coding RNA, 151 nt
Filed under: uncultured fungus
Lineage: Eukaryota; Fungi
Description: sequence contains ITS1
Source: RNAcentral